RNAcentral lists this ribosomal RNA (483 nucleotides) under uncultured bacterium. RNAcentral's name for it is "partial 16S ribosomal RNA". It matches the Rfam family "Bacterial small subunit ribosomal RNA", at positions 30 to 506 of the family's 1533-position model. The record is from RNAcentral.
AUUGAACGCUGGCGGCAGGCCUAACACAUGCAAGUCGAGCGGAUGAAGGGAGCUUGCUCCUGGAUUCAGCGGCGGACGGGUGAGUAAUGCCUAGGAAUCUGCCUGGUAGUGGGGGAUAACGCCCGGAAACGGGCGCUAAUACCGCAUACGUCCUGAGGGAGAAAGUGGGGGAUCUUCGGACCUCACGCUAUCAGAUGAGCCUAGGUCGGAUUAGCUAGUUGGUGGGGUAAAGGCCUACCAAGGCGACGAUCCGUAACUGGUCUGAGAGGAUGAUCAGUCACACUGGAACUGAGACCCGGUCCAGCCUCCUACGGGAGGCAGCAGUGGGGAAUAUUGGACAAUGGGCGAAAGCCUGAUCCAGCCAUGCCGCGUGUGUGAAGAAGGUCUUCGGAUUGUAAAGCACUUUAAGUUGGGAGGAAGGGCAGUAAGUUAAUACCUUGCUGUUUUGACGUUACCAACAGAAUAAGCACCGGCUAACUUCGU